This 464-nucleotide ribosomal RNA is filed under the name Vreelandella stevensii. Its description in RNAcentral is "partial 16S ribosomal RNA". It matches the Rfam family "Bacterial small subunit ribosomal RNA", at positions 338 to 795 of the family's 1533-position model. Lineage: Bacteria; Pseudomonadati; Pseudomonadota; Gammaproteobacteria; Oceanospirillales; Halomonadaceae. The record is from RNAcentral.
CCUACGGGGAGCUGCAGUGGGGAAUAUUGGACAAUGGGCGAAAGCCUGAUCCAGCCAUGCCGCGUGUGUGAAGAAGGCCUUCGGGUUGUAAAGCACUUUCAGUGGGGAAGAAAGCCUUGGGGCUAAUACCCUCGAGGAAGGACAUCACCCACAGAAGAAGCACCGGCUAACUCCGUGCCAGCAGCCGCGGUAAUACGGAGGGUGCGAGCGUUAAUCGGAAUUACUGGGCGUAAAGCGCGCGUAGGCGGUCUGAUAAGCCGGUUGUGAAAGCCCCGGGCUCAACCUGGGAACGGCAUCCGGAACUGUCAGGCUAGAGUGCAGGAGAGGAAGGUAGAAUUCCCGGUGUAGCGGUGAAAUGCGUAGAGAUCGGGAGGAAUACCAGUGGCGAAGGCGGCCUUCUGGACUGACACUGACGCUGAGGUGCGAAAGCGUGGGUAGCAAACAGGAUUAGAUACCCUGUAGUC